UCUGGAACUGCCAUCAAAACUUUUCAGCUAGAGUAUGAUAGAGGAAAGCAGAAUUUCUAGUGUAGAGGUGAAAUUCGUAGAUAUUAGAAAGAAUACCAAUUGCGAAGGCAGCUUUCUGGAUCAUUACUGACACUGAGGAACGAAAGCAUGGGUAGCGAAGAGGAUUAGAUACCCUCGUAGUCCAUGCCGUAAACGAUGUGUGUUAGACGUUGGAAAUUUAUUUUCAGCGUCGCAGCGAAAGCGAUAAACACACCGCCUGGGGAGUACGACCGCAAGGUUAAAACUCAAAUGAAUUGACGGGGACCCGCACAAGUAGUGGAGCAUGUGGUUUAAUUCGAAGAUACGCGCAGAACCUUACCAACACUUGACAUGUUCGUCGCGACUUUAAGAGAUUAAAGUUUUCGGUUCGGCCGGACGAAACACAGGUGCUGCAUGGCUGUCGUCAGCUCGUGUCGUGAGAUGUUGGGUUAAGUCCCGCAACGAGCGCAACCCUCACUUUUAGUUGCCAUCAUUAAGUUGGGCACUCUGAAAGAACUGCCAGUGAUAAGCUGGAGGAAGGUGGGGAUGACGUCAAGUCCUCAUGGCCCUUACGUGUUGGGCUACACACGUGCUACAAUGGUAUCUACAACAGGAAGCGAGACUGCGAGGUCAAGCAAAUCCUUAAAAGAUACCUCAGUUCGGAUUGCACUCUGCAACUCGAGUGCAUGAAGCUGGAAUUACUAGUAAUCGUGGAUCAGCGUGCCACGGUGAAUGCGUUCCCGGGUCUUGUACGCACCGCCCGUCACACCAUGGGAGUUGGUUCUACCUUAAGGCAAGGUUUAAAACCCUUGACCACGGUAUAGUCAGCGACUGGGGUGAAGUCGUAACAAGGUAAC
RNAcentral lists this ribosomal RNA (875 nucleotides) under uncultured Alphaproteobacteria bacterium. Its description in RNAcentral is "bacterial SSU rRNA". It matches the Rfam family "Bacterial small subunit ribosomal RNA", at positions 614 to 1500 of the family's 1533-position model. The record is from RNAcentral. Lineage: Bacteria; Pseudomonadati; Pseudomonadota; Alphaproteobacteria.